UACGGGGGGGGCAAGCGUUGUUCGGAAUUACUGGGCGUAAAGGGCCCGUAGGCGGCCAACUAAGUCAGACGUGAAAUCCCUCGGCUUAACCGGGGAACUGCGUCUGAUACUGGAUGGCUAGAGGUUGGGAGAGGGAUGCGGAAUUCCAGGUGUAGCGGUGAAAUGCGUAGAUAUCUGGAGGAACACCGGUGGCGAAGGCGGCAUCCUGGACCAAUUCUGACGCUGAGUGAGCGAAAGCCAGGGGAGCAAACGGG
RNAcentral lists this ribosomal RNA (254 nucleotides) under uncultured bacterium. RNAcentral's name for it is "partial 16S ribosomal RNA". It matches the Rfam family "Bacterial small subunit ribosomal RNA", at positions 524 to 776 of the family's 1533-position model. The record is from RNAcentral.